Molecule: long non-coding RNA, 1026 nt
Filed under: Piliocolobus tephrosceles (Ugandan red Colobus)
Lineage: Eukaryota; Metazoa; Chordata; Mammalia; Primates; Cercopithecidae
Description: lncRNA (ENSPTEG00000003928.1)
Source: RNAcentral
UCUAUAUAACGUCAAGUACAUAUAAAUAUAUCUACACAUAUAUAAAACAUGUUUAUUUUAUGCAUUUAGUUCUAUAUAUAUAUUUUUUUAAUUUAUUAAAUUAUUUUUCCUUUUUUUUAUUUAAAAAUUAUUAACCAAUGAACAAAUGGAAAAAUUCAAGAGCCCUUUAAUGAAUAAAAAUAUAAGUGAUGUUUUUAUUUCCUAUAAUGAUAUGAUACAAGACAACGAAUAUGAAAGUAGUUAUGGAUCAUACAAAGAUGUCAGUGACUUUUUGGAAAAUUCCGAAAGCUCAAGUAGUCAAUAUUCAAGUGAAAGUGAACCACUAAAAUUGUACAACUCACAUUUUACAAAUAGAAAAGCAAAUAUUCAGGAAACUAAUUCCGUUAAUGAUAUAUUUACAUGUGAAAAAGAAAAUAUAUUGAGACACUCUUACACAGAUAGUUAUAUAAAUGAAAUGGACAGUAUGGAGUGCUUUCCGUUUACAGAUUAUAAACACAAUACCACCAAUAUGAAUAAUAUAAGCGAAUUAGCGGAAUACCAAUGGAAACCAUAUGGUCGUAGUGUGCCUGACAUUUCUUCAAUAAACUUGACCCACAGAAAGGCAUGGGAUAUUGGAAGAGAAGGUUGUAACGGAAUACUCAUUAAAAGCAUUUUAGAUAGCUAUAAUAAAAAGAAACUGAAUUAUAUAUUACUGGAUGGUACUAAUAUAGACACAUUUUUAAUUGUUUUUUCUCACACAUAUCAAGAAAUUGUAAAAGGUGUUGAUCGACGUGUGAUAAAAACAUUCAGCUUUUAUGACAUACUUGAUGCUAACUUUAUGUUUGACACGAAAACUAUCCACAUCACUAAAAAAAAAAACAGAAAAAAAAAGAAAAGGUUAUAAUAAAAGGAUUAAGCGAUAAUUUUUUUAAUGCUAUAUUAGUUUGUAUGAACGAAAUAAUACGCUACCUUAGAAUUUCUAAUUUGAAAGGCACAUUGAUACAGAAAUUGAAUAAAAAAAAAAAAACAAAACGAAAAAAAAAAAGC